Molecule: ribosomal RNA, 267 nt
Filed under: uncultured bacterium
Lineage: Bacteria
Description: partial 16S ribosomal RNA
Rfam family: Bacterial small subunit ribosomal RNA
Source: RNAcentral
UACGAAGGGUGCAAGCGUUACUCGGAAUUACUGGGCGUAAAGCGUGCGUAGGUGGUUUGUUAAGUCUGAUGUGAAAGCCCUGGGCUCAACCUGGGAACGGCAUUGGAUACUGGCUUACUAGAGUGCGGUAGAGGGUAGUGGGAUUCCCGGUGUAGCAGUGAAAUGCGUAGAUAUCGGGAGGAACAUCUGUGGCGAAGGCGACUACCUGGACCAGCACUGACACUGAGGCACGAAGGCGUGGGGAGCAAACAGGAUUAGAACCGUACC